AGAGGUAUAGCUCAGUGGUAGAGUGCUUGCCUAGCAUGCAUGAGGCCCUAGGUUCAAUCUUGUAGCACUG
This 70-nucleotide transfer RNA is filed under the name Marmota marmota marmota (Alpine marmot). It matches the Rfam family "tRNA". Rfam says of the family: Transfer RNA (tRNA) molecules are approximately 80 nucleotides in length. Their secondary structure includes four short double-helical elements and three loops (D, anti-codon, and T loops). RNAcentral also lists the same sequence under 1 other name. The record is from Rfam by way of RNAcentral. Lineage: Eukaryota; Metazoa; Chordata; Mammalia; Rodentia; Sciuridae.